This 315-nucleotide unclassified non-coding RNA is filed under the name plant metagenome. Its description in RNAcentral is "partial contains 5.8S ribosomal RNA, internal transcribed spacer 2, and large subunit ribosomal RNA". The stretch from base 1 to 105 matches the Rfam family "5.8S ribosomal RNA", at positions 50 to 154 of the family's 154-position model. The record is from RNAcentral.
GAACUGCGAUAAGUAAUGUGAAUUGCAGAAUUCAGUGAAUCAUCGAGUCUUUGAACGCACAUUGCGCCCCCUGGCAUUCCGGGGGGCAUGCCUGUCCGAGCGUCAUUGCUGCCCUUCAAGCCCGGCUUGUGUGUUGGGUCGUCGUCCCCUCCGAGGGACGGGCCCGAAAGGCAGCGGCGGCACCGCGUCCGGUCCUCGAGCGUAUGGGGCUUUGUCACCCGCUCGAUAAGGACCGGCCGGGCGCCAGCCGGCGUCUCCAACCUUUUUUUCUCAGGUUGACCUCGGAUCAGGUAGGGAUACCCGCUGAACUUAAGC